RNAcentral lists this long non-coding RNA (210 nucleotides) under Felis catus (domestic cat). RNAcentral describes it as "lncRNA (ENSFCAG00000041466.2)". The record is from RNAcentral. Lineage: Eukaryota; Metazoa; Chordata; Mammalia; Carnivora; Felidae.
AUGAUGAUGAAGUGGAUGCUGUUCUCAUUAUUCCUGCCUCAGGAUGUGGUGGACCACCAUCUGCAGAUGCCGUUCCUUAUUCCAGCAAGGCAGUCGUGUCUUCAAAAUUGUUUCUUCUUCUUCAGAAAGUCACCUACUCCUUCAGUGAUCAAGUUCCCGCCCACAUGAUAAGAUUUUAGGUGAGCAACACGUACUCUUUAGACUCUUUAG